This 253-nucleotide ribosomal RNA is filed under the name uncultured bacterium. RNAcentral's name for it is "partial 16S ribosomal RNA". It matches the Rfam family "Bacterial small subunit ribosomal RNA", at positions 524 to 776 of the family's 1533-position model. The record is from RNAcentral.
UACGGAGGGUGCAAACGUUGCUCGGAAUCAUUGGGCGUAAAGCGAACGUAGGCGGCAUUGCAAGUCGGGUGUGAAAGCCCUCGGCUCAACCGAGGAAGUGCAUUCGAAACUGCAACGCUUGAGUGUCGGAGAGGAUAGCGGAAUUCUCGGUGUAGAGGUGAAAUUCGUAGAUAUUGGGAGGAACACCAGUGGCGAAGGCGGCUCACUGGACCGGUACUGACGCUGAUGCGCGAAAGCGUGGGGAGCAAACGGG